CGUAUCAGAAUGACGCGGUGAAUACGUUCCCGGGCCUUGUACACACCGCCCGUCACACCAUGGGAGUGGGUUGCUCCAGAAGUGGAUAGUCUAACCUUCGGGAGGACGUUCACCACGGAGUGAUUCAUGACUGGGGUGAAGUCGUAACAAGGUAGCCCUAGGGGAACCUGGGGCUGGAUCACCUCCUUAUACGA
RNAcentral lists this ribosomal RNA (194 nucleotides) under Pseudoalteromonas shioyasakiensis. Its description in RNAcentral is "partial 16S ribosomal RNA". It matches the Rfam family "Bacterial small subunit ribosomal RNA", at positions 1345 to 1533 of the family's 1533-position model. The record is from RNAcentral. Lineage: Bacteria; Pseudomonadati; Pseudomonadota; Gammaproteobacteria; Alteromonadales; Pseudoalteromonadaceae.